This 74-nucleotide transfer RNA is filed under the name Saprospiraceae bacterium. RNAcentral's name for it is "tRNA-Ile". It matches the Rfam family "tRNA". Rfam says of the family: Transfer RNA (tRNA) molecules are approximately 80 nucleotides in length. Their secondary structure includes four short double-helical elements and three loops (D, anti-codon, and T loops). Further hydrogen bonds mediate the characteristic L-shaped molecular structure. tRNAs have two regions of fundamental functional importance: the anti-codon, which is responsible for specific mRNA codon recognition, and the 3' end, to which the tRNAs corresponding amino acid is attached (by aminoacyl-tRNA synthetases). tRNAs cope with the degeneracy of the genetic code in two manners: having more than one tRNA (with a specific anti-codon) for a particular amino acid; and 'wobble' base-pairing, i.e. permitting non-standard base-pairing at the 3rd anti-codon position. The record is from RNAcentral. Lineage: Bacteria; Pseudomonadati; Bacteroidota; Saprospiria; Saprospirales; Saprospiraceae. RNAcentral also lists the same sequence under 3 other names.
AGGGCUAUAGCUCAGUUGGUUAGAGCGCUACACUGAUAAUGUAGAGGUCUCCAGUUCAAAUCUGGAUAGCCCUA